UACGUAGGGUGCAAGCGUUGUCCGGAAUUAUUGGGCGUAAAGAGCUCGUAGGCGGUCUGUCGCGUCGGCUGUGAAAACCCGGAGCUCAACUCCGGGCCUGCAGUCGAUACGGGCAGACUGGAGUUCGGCAGGGGAGACUGGAAUUCCUGGUGUAGCGGUGAAAUGCGCAGAGUAUCAGGAGGAACACCGGUGGCGAAGGCGGGGUCUCU
Molecule: ribosomal RNA, 209 nt
Filed under: uncultured bacterium
Lineage: Bacteria
Description: partial 16S ribosomal RNA
Rfam family: Bacterial small subunit ribosomal RNA
Source: RNAcentral